UGCAGUCGAGCGCCCCGCAAGGGGAGCGGCAGACGGGUGAGUAACGCGUGGGAACGUACCCUUUACUACGGAAUAACGCAGGGAAACUUGUGCUAAUACCGUAUGUGCCCUUCGGGGGAAAGAUUUAUCGGUAAGGGAUCGGCCCGCGUUGGAUUAGCUAGUUGGUGGGGUAAAGGCCUACCAAGGCGACGAUCCAUAGCUGGUCUGAGAGGAUGAUCAGCCACAUUGGGACUGAGACACGGCCCAAACUCCUACGGGAGGCAGCAGUGGGGAAUAUUGGACAAUGGGCGCAAGCCUGAUCCAGCCAUGCCGCGUGAGUGAUGAAGGCCCUAGGGUUGUAAAGCUCUUUCACCGGAGAAGAUAAUGACGGUAUCCGGAGAAGAAGCCCCGGCUAACUUCGUGCCAGCAGCCGCGGUAAUACGAAGGGGGCUAGCGUUGUUCGGAAUUACUGGGCGUAAAGCGCACGUAGGCGGACAUUUAAGUCAGGGGUGAAAUCCCAAAGCUCAACUCUGGAACUGCCUUUGAUACUGGGUGUCUUGAGUAUGGAAGAGGUGAGUGGAAUUCCGAGUGUAUAGGUGAAGUUCGUAGAUAUUCGGAGGAACACC
Molecule: ribosomal RNA, 605 nt
Filed under: Rhizobium sp. FMS-03AUS
Lineage: Bacteria; Pseudomonadati; Pseudomonadota; Alphaproteobacteria; Hyphomicrobiales; Rhizobiaceae
Description: bacterial SSU rRNA
Rfam family: Bacterial small subunit ribosomal RNA
Source: RNAcentral